UCAGUGCUGCAGCUAACGCAUUAAGCAUUCCGCCUGGGGAGUACGGCCGCAAGGCUGAAACUCAAAGGAACUGACGGGGGCCCGCACAAGCGGUGGAGCAUGUGGUUUAAUUCGAAGCUACGCGAAGAACCUUACCAGGUCUUGACAUACUAUGCAAAUCUAAGAGAUUAGACGUUCCCUUCGGGGACAUGGAUACAGGUGGUGCAUGGUUGUCGUCAGCUCGUGUCGUGAGAUGUUGGGUUAAGUCCCGCAACGAGCGCAACCCUUAUUAUCAGUUGCCAGCAUUAAGUUGGGCACUCUGGUGAGACUGCCGGUGACAAACCGGAGGAAGGUGGGGAUGACGUCAAAUCAUCAUGCCCCUUAUGACCUGGGCUACACACGUGCUACAAUGGAUGGUACAACGAGUUGCGAACUCGCGAGAGUAAGCUAAUCUCUUAAAGCCAUUCUCAGUUCGGAUUGUAGGCUGCAACUCGCCUACAUGAAGUCGGAAUCGCUAGUAAUC
This 502-nucleotide ribosomal RNA is filed under the name uncultured bacterium. RNAcentral's name for it is "bacterial SSU rRNA". It matches the Rfam family "Bacterial small subunit ribosomal RNA", at positions 840 to 1343 of the family's 1533-position model. The record is from RNAcentral.